CCUACGGGUGGGCAGCAGUGGGGAAUAUUGGACAAUGGGGGGAACCCUGAUCCAGCCAUGCCGCGUGUGUGAAGAAGGCCCUCGGGUUGUAAAGCACUUUCAGUGAGGAAGAACGCCUGGUGGUUAAUACCCAUCAGGAAAGACAUCACUCACAGAAGAAGCACCGGCUAACUCCGUGCCAGCAGCCGCGGUAAUACGGAGGGUGCGAGCGUUAAUCGGAAUUACUGGGCGUAAAGCGCGCGUAGGUGGCUUGAUAAGCCGGUUGUGAAAGCCCCGGGCUCAACCUGGGAACGGCAUCCGGAACUGUCAAGCUAGAGUGCAGGAGAGGAAGGUAGAAUUCCCGGUGUAGCGGUGAAAUGCGUAGAGAUCGGGAGGAAUACCAGUGGCGAAGGCGGCCUUCUGGACUGACACUGACACUGAGGUGCGAAAGCGUGGGUAGCAAACAGGAUUAGAUACCCGUGUAGUC
This 466-nucleotide ribosomal RNA is filed under the name Vreelandella stevensii. Its description in RNAcentral is "partial 16S ribosomal RNA". It matches the Rfam family "Bacterial small subunit ribosomal RNA", at positions 338 to 795 of the family's 1533-position model. The record is from RNAcentral. Lineage: Bacteria; Pseudomonadati; Pseudomonadota; Gammaproteobacteria; Oceanospirillales; Halomonadaceae.